CUCAGAUUGAACGCUGGCGGCAUGCCUUACACAUGCAAGUCGAACGGCAGCACGGGCUUCGGCCUGGUGGCGAGUGGCGAACGGGUGAGUAAUACAUCGGAACGUGCCCUGUUGUGGGGGAUAACCAGUCGAAAGAUUGGCUAAUACCGCAUACGACCUGAGGGUGAAAGCGGGGGACCGCAAGGCCUCGCGCAGCAGGAGCGGCCGAUGUCUGAUUAGCUAGUUGGUGGGGUAAAGGCCCACCAAGGCGACGAUCAGUAGCUGGUCUGAGAGGACGAUCAGCCACACUGGGACUGAGACACGGCCCAGACUCCUACGGGAGGCAGCAGUGGGGAAUUUUGGACAAUGGGGGCAACCCUGAUCCAGCAAUGCCGCGUGUGUGAAGAAGGCCUUCGGGUUGUAAAGCACUUUUGUCCGGAAAGAAAACCUCUGCCCUAAUACGGCGGGGGGAUGACGGUACCGAA
This 464-nucleotide ribosomal RNA is filed under the name soil bacterium 07G-04. Its description in RNAcentral is "bacterial SSU rRNA". It matches the Rfam family "Bacterial small subunit ribosomal RNA", at positions 23 to 482 of the family's 1533-position model. The record is from RNAcentral.